UUUGGAGGUAGUGACAAUAAAUCACAAUGCGGGACUAUCAGUCUUGCAAUUGGAUUGAGAACAAUGUACAACUCUUAUCGAUAAGCCAUUGGAGGGCAAGUCUGGUGCCAGCAGCCGCGGUAAUUCCAGCUCCAAUAGCGUAUAUUAACGUUGUUGCAGUUAAAAAGCUCGUAGUUGAAGUGUGGGUGAUCGCUAUUGUGAGACUUCGGUCUCUCGACAGUAAGUCACCCCCUUCCAGUAUCCAGUAGUGGGUAUUCAGUUACUUACUAUUGUGUGUUGGUCCUUUACUGUGAGAAAAUUAGAGUGUUCAAAGCAGGCGUUUGCUUGAAUAGAUUAGCAUGGAAUAAUAAUUGAAGGCUUUCGUGUUCGAUUUGAUUGGUUUGUUCAUGGAAGCAAGGUUAAAAGGAACAGUUGGGGGUAUUCAUAUUCACUAGUUAGAGGUGAAAUUCUCGGAUUUAUGGAAGAUGAACAAGUGCGAAAGCAA
RNAcentral lists this ribosomal RNA (484 nucleotides) under Blastocystis sp. subtype 1. Its description in RNAcentral is "SSU rRNA". It matches the Rfam family "Eukaryotic small subunit ribosomal RNA", at positions 457 to 954 of the family's 1831-position model. Lineage: Eukaryota; Bigyra; Opalinata; Blastocystidae. The record is from RNAcentral.